AUGAAGCCGGCGGUUGAAGGCGACGAGCGUGCGGCGGAGAUCGCCCGCAUCAAGGCCGCCGCGGCCGCCGCCAAAAAGUCGGCGGAAGAGGUGGUGGAUGUGGAUGAUGAGGGUGAGGACGACGAGGGAGAUGAAGAGGAGGAGGCGGUUGAUGGCGACGACGACGACGACGAAGUCGACGACGAUGGGGAAGAUGACGAUGACGAGGGGGUGGAGGGUGAGGAGAAGGGGUCGGCGCCGCAGCAGGUGGUCGACAUCUCCGACGAGGACGACGGCGGCGGCGACGAAGAGGAGGGUGGUGACGAUGACGACGACGACGACGACGACGAUGAUGACGAGGAGGACGACGACGAAGUCGACGAGGAGGAGGAGCCUGAGGAGGAGCUAGGAACUGAAUAUCUGGUGCAGCCGCUUGGCCGUGCUGAAGACGAAGAGCAUUCCAGUGACUUUGAGCCAGAAGAAAAUGGUGAUGGUGCUGAGGACGAGGAGAUUGAGGAUGAUGAUGCUGAGGAUGGUGAGGAUUCUGUCAAGGCGCAAUCCUCUUCGAAGAGGAAGAGGUCUGGCGCGGAGGAUGAAGAUGAUGAUGACGGUGAUGAUGAUGGUGAUGAUGAUGAGAAGCCUCCAUCAAAGCGAUAG
Molecule: ribosomal RNA, 636 nt
Filed under: Triticum aestivum (bread wheat)
Lineage: Eukaryota; Viridiplantae; Streptophyta; Magnoliopsida; Poales; Poaceae
Description: partial small subunit ribosomal RNA
Source: RNAcentral